UUUCCGUAGGUGAACCUGCGGAAGGAUCAUUACCAAAACAGAGCAAUCUCGGCUUCGGCCUUGAAAGCUUCAACCUUUUGUGAACCAAACCUUUCUUUUCGCUUCGGCAGCAGCGGCGAUCCCGCCGCGUCAGCCUGCCGCUAGCACCCUUGAAAACUUGCUGUAUCUCAUGUCUGAACACGAAUAUUUUGAAUUCAAUCAAAACUUUCAACAACGGAUCUCUUGGUUCCC
RNAcentral lists this unclassified non-coding RNA (231 nucleotides) under soil metagenome. RNAcentral describes it as "partial contains small subunit ribosomal RNA, internal transcribed spacer 1, and 5.8S ribosomal RNA". The record is from RNAcentral.